Molecule: long non-coding RNA, 489 nt
Organism: Pseudophryne corroboree (corroboree frog)
Lineage: Eukaryota; Metazoa; Chordata; Amphibia; Anura; Myobatrachidae
Exons: 3
Source: RefSeq, a predicted model, not a curated record
AACGCCGUACAGGGGAGGAUACUGGCGUUUGAACAGGGGUUGUGGUCCCCGAGCUGGAGAUAACUGAGGUGAUCUGGGCUCAUCACUCUGCGAACUCGCCAGUAGUGCCAGUGGUGGCUGGGGUGACACUGCCGAUAUCCUUCGCCUGGGUGGGGAUGAUGGAGGUGCUGAAUCAGAGCCAAGACGCCGGGUCUUAGUUGGCCUCCUGGAAUAUGUGACUACAGUGAAGACUUACCUGCAAUACCGGCAUCAUCAUGACUGGUCUGAGGCCUGUCUGGGCGGCUGGUCUGUGUGACUGUGGAAAAAGUGACACCAACAUUAUUACCCUGUUUGUUUUUAAAGGACCCAGUGAAAACCAUUAAUGUACUGUAAGCAUCUAUUUGGUUUGGUUGCCACAACAAAAUUAAGCUUAAGAGCUUCUAUAUUUUUGAUUUUGAGUUGAAUAUCAAAAUGUACUUCAUGUGGCACACAAUAAAUUUAUAAGCAGAA